This 370-nucleotide ribosomal RNA is filed under the name uncultured bacterium. RNAcentral describes it as "bacterial SSU rRNA". It matches the Rfam family "Bacterial small subunit ribosomal RNA", at positions 527 to 898 of the family's 1533-position model. The record is from RNAcentral.
GUAGGGGGCGAGCGUUGUCCGGAUUUAUUGGGCGUAAAGAGCGCGUAGGCGGCUCGUUAAGUUGGCUGUGAAAGGUCUGGGCCCAACCCAGAUAAGUCGGCCAAAACUGGUGGGCUUGAGGGCGGUAGAGGAAGGUGGAAUUCCGGGUGUAGUGGUGAAAUGCGUAGAGAUCCGGAGGAACACCGGUGGCGAAGGCGGCCUUCUGGGCCGUUCCUGACGCUGAGGCGCGAAAGCGUGGGUAGCGAACUGAAUUAGAUACUCAGGUAGUCCACGCCCUAAACGAUGGACGCUAGGUGUGGGGGGUAUCGACCCCUUCCGUGCCGAAGCUAACGCAUUAAGCGUCCCGCCUGGGGAGUACGGCCGCAAGAAA